GACGUAGGGGGCCAGCGUUGUUCGGAAUUACUGGGUGUAAAGGGUUCGUAGGCGGUGUGGCAAGUCGGGAGUGAAAUCUCUGGGCUCAACCCAGAGACUGCUUCCGAAACUGCUGUGCUUGAGUGUGAGAGAGGCUCGUGGAAUUGCAGGUGUAGCGGUGAAAUGCGUAGAUAUCAGGAGGAACACCGGUGGCGAAGGCGGCUCACUGGCCCGGUACUGACGCUGAGGCACGAAAGCGUGGGGAGCAAACAGG
RNAcentral lists this ribosomal RNA (253 nucleotides) under uncultured bacterium. Its description in RNAcentral is "partial 16S ribosomal RNA". It matches the Rfam family "Bacterial small subunit ribosomal RNA", at positions 524 to 776 of the family's 1533-position model. The record is from RNAcentral.